Molecule: long non-coding RNA, 460 nt
Organism: Dendroctonus ponderosae (mountain pine beetle)
Lineage: Eukaryota; Metazoa; Arthropoda; Insecta; Coleoptera; Curculionidae
Exons: 2
Source: RefSeq, a predicted model, not a curated record
AAUAAUAUAAAAUAUAAUCUUUAAAGAUUAGAUAGAUUAGAUUAGAUAAAUUACAAUCAACCUCUAUGAUUAGACAAAUUAACAAUAAUUCUCGUCUGACCCUCUGUCUAAAGUAAAAUUAAUUGUUUGAUUGUCUAUUUGUCUAUUAUGUCAUUUACUUCUUGUCAAUUUGUUCGCACCAAAUUUAUUGAAUUUUAGUUAGGUUAAAAAGGCAGAACCCCGGCACGUGGCCGGCACUUUGGCGUGACUGGUAUUCUGAACUUGUACUUUGUACUUGUCUUGUUUGAUGUGAUUUAUUAAUGGGCUGUUAGUUCAUUAUUAUACGAAAUUUUUCACACAAAGGUAACAGUGUGUGGUCUAUUCAGAACCAUGUGCCGAGACAAUAUAUGUAUGUAGGUAGGUAUAUACUGUCUUUUGCGCCCCAACUUUCUUUUUAAAAACAAGUUCUGGCUGGUUUGGA